RNAcentral lists this ribosomal RNA (472 nucleotides) under uncultured bacterium. Its description in RNAcentral is "bacterial SSU rRNA". It matches the Rfam family "Bacterial small subunit ribosomal RNA", at positions 26 to 518 of the family's 1533-position model. The record is from RNAcentral.
CUAGGAUUAACGCUGGCGGCGUGCCUAACACAUGCAAGUCGAACGGAAUAUCUUCGGAUAUUUAGUGGCGAACGGGUGAGUAAUGUACAGGUAAUGUACCUUCGUACUGCGAAUAACAAGCUGAAAAGUUUGCUAAUACGGAAUAGUUUCCUUCGGGGGCAUCCUUAAAGGAAUAAAGAUUUAUCGUGCGGAGAUCAGCCUGUAUCCUAUUAGUUAGUUGGUGGGGUAAUGGCCUACCAAGACGACGAUGGGUAACUGGUCUGAGAGGAUGAGCAGUCACAUUGGAACUGAGAAACGGUCCAAACUCCUACGGGAGGCAGCAGUGAGGAAUUUUGCGCAAUGGGGGAAACCCUGAACCGCAGCAACGCCGCGUGAGUGACGACGGCCUUCGGGUUGUAAAGCUCUGUCGUGUGUGACGAGUAGGGACGGUAACACACAAGGAAGCCUCGGCUAACUACGUGCCAGCCGCCGC